This 497-nucleotide ribosomal RNA is filed under the name uncultured bacterium. RNAcentral's name for it is "partial 16S ribosomal RNA". It matches the Rfam family "Bacterial small subunit ribosomal RNA", at positions 28 to 507 of the family's 1533-position model. The record is from RNAcentral.
GACGAACGCUGGCGGCGUGCCUAAUACAUGCAAGUUGAGCGCUGAAGGUUGGUACUUGUACCAACUGGAUGAGCAGCGAACGGGUGAGUAACGCGUGGGGAAUCCGCCUUUGAGCGGGGGACAACAUUUGGAAACGAAUGCUAAUACCGCAUAAAAACUUUAAACACAAGUUUUAAGUUUGAAAGAUGCAAUUGCAUCACUCAAAGAUGAUCCCGCGUUGUAUUAGCUAGUUGGUGAGGUAAAGGCUCACCAAGGCGAUGAUACAUAGCCGACCUGAGAGGGUGAUCGGCCACAUUGGGACUGAGACACGGCCCAAAAUCCUACGGGAGGCAGCAGUAGGGAAUCUUCGGCAAUGGACGAAAGUCUGACCGAGCAACGCCGCGUGAGUGAAGAAGGUUUUCGGAUCGUAAAACUCUGUUGGUAGGGAAGAACGUUGGUGAGAGUGGAAAGCUCAUCAAGUGGCGGUAACUACCCAGAAAGGGACGGCUAACUACGUG